Long non-coding RNA from Chelonia mydas (Green sea turtle), 676 nucleotides. RefSeq lists it as uncharacterized. The record is from RefSeq and is a predicted model, not a curated record. The transcript has 3 exons. NCBI's taxonomy places the organism in Eukaryota, Metazoa, Chordata, Testudines, Cheloniidae.
CAGGGCACAUUUAUAAGCAAAGCAGUGGACAAACUAUGUUUGCUGGGUCCCUGGCGAGUGGGGUUACUCAGCUCCUGUGCGAAUGGCGAGGGACUUCCUGAACUACUCCGUCAGGCCACUGCCCUCGUCUCUUUCAAAGGCCUCCUCAAGACCACUUCUGCCAGGGCACCUGCACAGGUUCAGCCAGUGAGAUGGGGCUGAGAUGCUGUGGGCAGUGCCAUUCUGGGCAGAUUGCAUGAGGGCAAGAUCAGUGAUGGACAAACCUCAUGGGGCCUGCACACUUAUCUUCAAAGGAGGGGCUGGCCAGGAAGAGGAGCUUGUUAGAGUGGGGUCAGAGAGAGGGAGUGCAGGGCACCAACAUCCUAAGGGCAAUCAAUCUCAUGGGCCGUGUGCUUGGGGGCUCUCCUGACUGAUGGUUUCCUAUGCUGUCCUAUGGAAAGAGAUCUGAAGGUGGGUAUCUUAUGCAGCACUCCCUGCUCGUAUGCUGCUGCAGAACCCCACAGCUGCCAAGGCUGUGGUGUCCCCUACUGACUGGUGCCCACUGACGCACUUGUCAGAGUUUACAAAGCGGCAUUCUUUUGUUUAAAACUUUGAAAGAAGCUUUUCUGAAGAAAGCACAGAUUGAAAGCAGGCGCCAGUGCCAAGAACAACAUAAAUAUCACCUGUGAACAUAAGA